This is a non-coding RNA of Pelobates cultripes (western spadefoot toad), 259 nucleotides long. NCBI's taxonomy places the organism in Eukaryota, Metazoa, Chordata, Amphibia, Anura, Pelobatidae. The record is from the annotation of a GenBank genome assembly.
GCCACAUUUAUUUUUAUUUUGAGCAUUUGUUUAAAAAAGCUUUCACUUUCAGUGUGUUGCGUGGUGAAAUCCUGCCCCAAGUGAAAUGAUCAUUACAACAUUUUAGAGCGUUUUUUUGUAGCUGUAAAAAUAGCUAAAUCUGCUUUACUGUGAAAAAUAAGCCCUUUAUGUAAAACAUCUCCAUGAUAUUGGACAGCUGCCUGCGGAUGCUGUCACUAAAGCAGAAAGCAGAUCCAAUCUGUUGUUCUGGUCAAAGAAG